Molecule: ribosomal RNA, 468 nt
Filed under: uncultured bacterium
Lineage: Bacteria
Description: partial 16S ribosomal RNA
Rfam family: Bacterial small subunit ribosomal RNA
Source: RNAcentral
GACGAACGCUGGCGGCGUGCUUAACACAUGCAAGUCGAACGGAAAGGCCCUGCUUUUGUGGAGUGCUCGAGUGGCGAACGGGUGAGUAACACGUGAGUAACCUGCCCUUGACUUUGGGAUAACUUCAGGAAACUGGGGCUAAUACCGGAUAGGAGCUCCUGCUGCAUGGUGGGGGUUGGAAAGUUUCGGCGGUUGGGGAUGGACUCGCGGCUUAUCAGCUUGUUGGUGGGGUAGUGGCUUACCAAGGCUUUGACGGGUAGCAGGCCUGAGAGGGUGACCGGCCACAUUGGGACUGAGAUACGGCCCAGACUCCUACGGGAGGCAGCAGUGGGGAAUAUUGCACAAUGGGCGGAAGCCUGAUGCAGCAACGCCGCGUGCGGGAUGACGGCCUUCGGGUUGUAAACCGCUUUCGCCUGUGACGAAGCGUGAGUGACGGUAAUGGGUAAAGAAGCACCGGCUAACUACGUG